AUGCCGCUGCCCCCGCGGCCCUCCCUACCGCUGCCGUCCAUCGGCUCCUCACGCCCCGAGCGCAUCCGCGACCGUCCAUCGGCUCCUCGCGCCCCGAGCGCAUCCGCUACCGCCGUGCCUCCUGCAGCCCCCGCCGCGCCUAUGCCACUCGUCGCCGUCCAGGAGGUCCCCGUCGCCGCCCUUCAAGCGGUCCAGGCGGGACGACGGAUUUGCAAGAAUAUUAUGUUAUGUAAGAACAUGGCGGUGCAGUCACCCGAGGUGAAGAAGCUCCGUCACCUACCAACACCUCCUCCACCAGGCUGA
This 303-nucleotide ribosomal RNA is filed under the name Triticum aestivum (bread wheat). RNAcentral describes it as "partial small subunit ribosomal RNA". The record is from RNAcentral. Lineage: Eukaryota; Viridiplantae; Streptophyta; Magnoliopsida; Poales; Poaceae.